This 492-nucleotide ribosomal RNA is filed under the name uncultured bacterium. RNAcentral describes it as "partial 16S ribosomal RNA". It matches the Rfam family "Bacterial small subunit ribosomal RNA", at positions 29 to 507 of the family's 1533-position model. The record is from RNAcentral.
AGUGAACGCUGGCGGUAGGCCUAACACAUGCAAGUCGAACGGCAGCACAGUAAGAGCUUGCUCUUACGGGUGGCGAGUGGCGGACGGGUGAGGAAUACAUCGGAAUCUACUUUUUCGUGGGGGAUAACGUAGGGAAACUUACGCUAAUACCGCAUACGACCUACGGGCGAAAGCAGGGGAUCUUCGGACCUUGCGCGAUUGAAUGAGCCGAUGUCGGAUUAGCUAGUUGGCGGGGUAAAGGCCCACCAAGGCGACGAUCCGUAGCUGGUCUGAGAGGAUGAUCAGCCACACUGGAACUGAGACACGGUCCAGACUCCUACGGGAGGCAGCAGUGGGGAAUAUUGGACGAUGGGCGCAAGCCUGAUCCAGCCAUACCGCGUGGGUGAAGAAGGCCUUCGGGUUGUAAAGCCCUUUUGUUGGGAAAGAAAAGCAGCAGGUUAAUACCCCGCUGUUCUGACGGUACCCAAAGAAUAAGCACCGGCUAACUUCGUG